Molecule: non-coding RNA, 1359 nt
Organism: Paramuricea clavata
Lineage: Eukaryota; Metazoa; Cnidaria; Anthozoa; Malacalcyonacea; Plexauridae
Source: the annotation of a GenBank genome assembly
CUUUGAUUAAUUAGUGGUUUUAGUAAUUAGUACAGAUUCUGUACUAACAGCACUAAUUCUGUUCUGUGAUCGACACGGUUUAUAAAUCAAAGAAUCUUCCUGUUGAACCAGAGCUUUCGCAAUGUUUCAAUUCAUUAUUUACUGUCAAAGGCUUUGGAAUCCAGGGUAGUGCUAUCGUAACAAAAGAGGAACAUUUGUUUGCUUUUUGAAAUGAAAUAGAACAUAUAAUUAUAUCAUUUUAAUGACUUGCUUCCGAUUUUCAGAGAGGUCUUGGAAACAUUAUUAAUUGGUGAUACUUUUGAAAUAUUCAGCAACUUGCCGAUGAAAUUUUUAUAAAAUAUUGCCAUAAAAUAUAUAACAUUCUAAGACUAAGGCUAUAUAUAUAUUGAUACUAUUGAUACUAUAGUGCUGUUCCAACGUACAAUAAUGUGAAAAAAAGAAAAGAAAAAAAGAGAUGAAAAAGUUUUUUCAUCAAGUGAGAAAAAUUUCCGGAGAAACUUUCCAAAAUUAUUGUCGCUCCAAUAUUGUUUAGGUCCAUUUUUUAAGUAUUUUAUAAAGCGUAUGCUAUGUACGUGCUAAGAAGCUAGUUUUGUUGGCAUGUGGAAAGCAAAAGUAGCGAAGGUAAAGAGAUUAAAAUUGGAUUUAGUGCGUAUUUAUUAGCCCCCCCCCUCCCCCGUCGAUGACAUAGAGAUUAUAAAUAACACUAGAGGAGGCAUCGAGUUUAAAAAUUGGGAACGCAGCUAAUGGGGGGCAAAUUCAAGUCCCGGAUAUAAAAUCGUACUCUUAUUGGCUGAUUUGAAACUCGUCACCAAUGGGAACACAAAUACACAUCCGGGACUUAAAUUGUAGCCACGUUCCCUUUUCUUUACUGAAUUAAGAUUACGAUGCCUCCUCUAGUGUUAGGGACGGACCAUUAGAAAAGUGAUGGGGGGGGGGGGGCAAAACCAAAAAAAAAAAUUAUUUCCAGAAAAAAAUUAAGAAAAAAAAAAUCUUCCCAGGCAUAGUGCAAAAAAAAAUAAUUUCUUGCUUAGAAGAUAGGCCAAGUGGUGUAGUGGAGGGAGGGCUCGAGGGUGCUUAGCACCCCUUGUUAAAAUUUCAUGUUGACUUGGAGGGGCUGAGCCCCCCUAUGUUUUUGGCGCGUUGCAUAAUCUUAACAACGUCAAAAACACACACAAAAAUAUCAGUAAACGAGAAUGUUCUUUAGAAUUGUAUCUCAUUUUCAGUCAUCAUUUAACACAAUAAUGAUUUUUGUAAUCUUUAUACCGCGUUGUUCAUGCGCCGUAGCAAAUUGGCUGUUGAAAUACCGAUCCUGUUUUGUCUGAUUUAAACUCUAUCCAGGGCUGUAUCAACGGGAGGGGC